Long non-coding RNA from Musca domestica (house fly), 1523 nucleotides. RefSeq lists it as uncharacterized. The transcript has 5 exons. Lineage: Eukaryota; Metazoa; Arthropoda; Insecta; Diptera; Muscidae. The record is from RefSeq and is a predicted model, not a curated record.
UAUCACUAACAUCGAUGUUUUUCUCGAUAGUCUGGUAAUGUGCAGUACAUUUAGACAUAUGAAAAAUGUUAGAGGGAACUACCUAUAAUCUGUGCACAUUACCAAACUAUCUUUAUUGUUAUGUUGAUUUGUAUUGAAGAACAGGACACCGAAGUUUGGACAAAAACACGAAUUGUAUGGAUGAGAGAACAGCGUUUGAAAAAUGAAAAUUGGAUAAUAAAAAGAAAAUGCGAAAUAUGCAUCGGAUGUUGGAGGGAAAUAUUGUAAUUGUUGAUUUGCAUUGAAGAACAGGACACCGGAAGCUUGGACAGAAACACGAAUUGUAUUGCCAUGGAUGAGAGAACAGCUUUUGAAAAAUGAAAAUUGGAUAAUAAAAAAAAUGCGAAAUAUGCAUCGGAUGUUGGAGGGAAAUAUUGUAAUUGUUGAUUUGCAUUGAAGAACAGGACACCGGAAGCUUGGACAGAAACACGAAUUGUAUUGCCAUGGAUGGGAUAAUAAAAACAAAAUACGAAAUAUGCAUCGGAUUCUCUUCAAAUGUUACGCAUCCUAAUAUUGAUGACACAUGAUAGGUGUGAAAAUGGGAUAUAUGUUCAACCUCCUCCACAACGAGUCAGCAUUUUGAAUAACAGAGCGGUAAUAAAAAGCAUUGAAGAACAAGACACCUGGAGCUAAGACAGAAACACGAAUUGUAUUGCCAUGGAUGGGAGAAAAGCUCUUGAAAAAUGAAAAUUGGAUAAUAAAAACAAAAUACGAAGUAUGCAUCGGAUUCUCUUCAAAUUUUACGCAUCCCAAUAAUGAUGACACAUGAUCGGUGUGAAGAUGUAAUAAAAGGUGAAGGUAAUAAGAGGCAAAAUAAACAUCCGAAUCUCUUCAAAUUUUACACUUUGGAAUAUUUCUACUAUGGUAUGUAGAUGAUGGAUAUUCUGGUACCUCCGCCACAAAUGAUCACAAUUUCAAAUUCUUAUAACUCUCAUAACUUGUGGAACAAGUCAGUGAUUCUGUGUGAACUUGUGAUAUAAAAAUAUUUCUGUCAACCAGAGAUCAAAAGUGGAAUUCUGUUUUGAGUUUCCAAUUAAAAUCAGUGAAAUUGAAAUGCUUAUAAUAGCGGUAGUUAACGAGAAAGUUAGCGAUGAAAUCAAGUGUAACUUAUUAUUUAUAUCGAGAUUUUGUAUUUCAAAUUUUUGUCAGUAACUCAAAAAUGAGUUAGAGAAUCCCACUACAGAUGUGAAUAUGGGAUUUAUCUGCCUUAUGGUAUAUAAGGAAAUUAGUAUCAUCGACUUAAAAUAACUUAUGUAGUUGUUUUAUUGAUUAUAGUGACAGAUUUCCACACAACCCAUGAGGUACUGUCCCUGUGCGUUGCCAUUUGUUUUACUUGGUUGGCUUCCCCUAUAGGCCUACAUACCAAGUUCUAACUUCUUACUACUUGUAAUUAGAACUAAUUAGAUGUAACCAUUAAAUAUAAUUUUAAAACAUAUAAUAAAGCAAUAAAUUAAUAAAGUGUUCCUGAUAUGUUGGUAAAAACA